This 353-nucleotide unclassified non-coding RNA is filed under the name soil metagenome. RNAcentral describes it as "partial contains 5.8S ribosomal RNA, internal transcribed spacer 2, and large subunit ribosomal RNA". The stretch from base 1 to 120 matches the Rfam family "5.8S ribosomal RNA", at positions 35 to 154 of the family's 154-position model. The record is from RNAcentral.
GAUGAAGAACGUAGCGAAAUGCGAUAAGUAAUGUGAAUUGCAGAAUUCAGUGAAUCAUCGAAUCUUUGAACGCUCAUUGCGCCCGCCAGUAUUCUGGCGGGCAUGCCUGUUCGAGCGUCAUUACAACCCUCAGGCCCCCGGGCCUGGCGUUGGGGAUCGGCGGAAGCCCCCUGCGGGCACAACGCCGUCCCCCAAAUACAGUGGCGGUCCCGCCGCAGCUUCCAUUGCGUAGUAGCUAACACCUCGCAACUGGAGAGCGGCGCGGCCACGCCGUAAAACACCCAACUUCUGAAUGUUGACCUCGAAUCAGGUAGGAAUACCCGCUGAACUUAAGCAUAUCAAUAAGCGGAGGA